GUCCACGCCGUAAACGAUGAGAACUAGAUGUCGGGAGGGAUUAGCCUCUCGGUGUCGUAGCUAACGCGCUAAGUUCUCCGCCUUGGGAGUACGGCCGCAAGGUUGAAACUCAAAGGAAUUGACGGGGACCCCGCACAAGCUGUGGAGCAUGUGGUUUAAUUCGAUGCAACGCGAAGAACCUUACCUGGUCUUGACAUCCUCGGAACCCUGCAGCGAUGUGGGGGUGCCUUCGGGAGCCGAGAGACAGGUGCUGCAUGGCUGUCGU
RNAcentral lists this ribosomal RNA (265 nucleotides) under uncultured bacterium. Its description in RNAcentral is "partial 16S ribosomal RNA". It matches the Rfam family "Bacterial small subunit ribosomal RNA", at positions 793 to 1055 of the family's 1533-position model. The record is from RNAcentral.